GACGAACGCUGGCGGCGUGCCUAAUACAUGCAAGUAGAACGCUGAAGAGAGGAGCUUACUCUUCUUGGAUGAGUUGCGAACGGGUGAGUAACGCGUAGGUAACCUGCCUUGUAGCGGGGGAUAACUAUUGGAAACGAUAGCUAAUACCGCAUAACAAUGGAUGACACAUGUCAUUUAUUUGAAAGGGGCAAUUGCUCCACUACAAGAUGGACCUGCGUUGUAUUAGCUAGUAGGUGAGGUAAUGGCUCACCUAGGCGACGAUACAUAGCCGACCUGAGAGGGUGAUCGGCCACACUGGGACUGAGACACGGCCCAGACUCCUACGGGAGGCAGCAGUAGUGAAUCUUCGGCAAUGGGGGCAACCCUGACCGAGCAACGCCGCGUGAGUGAAGAAGGUUUUCGGAUCGUAAAGCUCUGUUGUAAGUCAAGAACGGGUGUGAGAGUGGAAAGUUCACACUGUGACGGUAGCUUACCAGAAAGGGACGGCUAACUACGUG
Molecule: ribosomal RNA, 497 nt
Filed under: uncultured bacterium
Lineage: Bacteria
Description: partial 16S ribosomal RNA
Rfam family: Bacterial small subunit ribosomal RNA
Source: RNAcentral